Non-coding RNA from Schistosoma rodhaini, 46 nucleotides. Lineage: Eukaryota; Metazoa; Platyhelminthes; Trematoda; Strigeidida; Schistosomatidae. The record is from Rfam.
GCAUUGCUGAAGAAUCCCAUAAUAGGAAGAAACGAUCGUCCAGUGC